UGAAGCUACCAAGGGCAUACGGUGGAUGCCUUGGCACAGGCAGGCGAUGAAGGACGUGGUAAGCUGCGAUAAGCUCCGGUGAGGUGCAAGCAACCUUUGACCCGGAGAUCUCCGAAUGGGAAAACCCACCUGGAAUAAAAGACCAGGUAUCUCCUUACUGAACACAUAGGUUUGGAGAGGCUAACCCGGGGAACUGAAACAUCUUAGUACCCGGAGGAAGAGAAAGCGAAAGCGAUUCCCUGAGUAGAGGCGAUCGAAACGGGAAGAGUCUAAACCGAGCGGUGCGUGAUAGCUGCGCAAGCGUUGCACCGCCGGGGUAGAGGGAAGUGUCCGGAGGAUGCGUCACCUCGGAUCGAAAAGCAUGCUAGCAGAAGCUUCUGGAAAGUUGCUCCAAAGAGGGUGAAAGGCCCGUACGCGAAAGCAUGCUCUGGAUCUGGGACACUCUCCCAAGUAGCACGGGGCACGUGAAAUCCUGUGUGAAUCCGGGCGGACCACCGCCUAAGACUAAACACUCGCCUGUGACCGAUAGUGAACUAGUACCGUGAGGGAAAGGUGAAAAGCACCCCUGGCGGGGAGUGAAAUAGUACCUGAAACCGUGUGCCUACAAGCAGUCGGAGCAGACUUGUUCUGUGACGGCGUGCCUUUUGCAUAAUGAGCCGGGGAGUUGCUCGUACGUAGCGAGGUUAAGGCCGGGAGGCCGGAGCCGCAGGGAAACCGAGUCUGAACAGGGCGAUUCAGUUGCGUACGGCAGACCCGAAGCCAGGUGAUCUAUCCAUGGCCAGGCUGAAACUUGGGUAAAACCAAGCGGAGGGCCGAACCCACUAACGUUGAAAAGUUAGGGGAUGAGCUGUGGAUAGGGGUGAAAGGCCAAACAAACCUGGAGAUAGCUGGUUCUCCUCGAAAUAGCUCUAGGGCUAGCGUCGAUGCAGUGUUCCGGAGGUAGAGCACUGGAUGGGUUAAGGGGCCUACAAGCUUACUGACCCCAACCAAACUCCGAAUGCCGGAACAUGGUCUACGGCAGUCAGGCCGCGGGGGCUAAGCUCCACGGCCGAGAGGGAAACAACCCAGACCGCCGGCUAAGGUCCCCAAGCAUACGUUAAGUGUAUCUAAGGAAGUGGAGUUGCUUAGACAACUGGGAUGUUGGCUUAGAAGCAGCCAUUCAUUUAAAGAGUGCGUAACAGCUCACCAGUCAAUGCGAUUCUGCGCCGAUAAUAAUCGGGGCUCAAACGUAUCACCGAAGCCGCGGACUGUCGCCUUGAGCGACAGUGGUAGAGGAGCGUUCCGUAUGCGCUGAAGGUGUCCUGUGAGGGAUGCUGGAGUGUACGGAAGUGAUCAUCCCGGCAUGAGUAGCGAUAAUGCAGGUGAGAAACCUGCACACCGAAAGCCUAAGGUUUCCUGGGCAAGGCUGAUCCUCCCAGGGUAAGUCGGGUCCUAAGCACAGGCCGAAAGGCGUAAGCGAUGGGAAGCAGGUGAAUAUUCCUGCACCAUUGUGUGUGCGUUCGAGCGAUGGGGUGACGCGGAAGGUAGGGCCAUCCGGGUGAUGGAUGUCCCGGUUUGCACCUGUAGGAGGGAGCGGCAGGCAAAUCCACCGCUCCAACUCCGAGGGGUGUGACGAGAGCUUCGGCUCGCAAAGUGGUCGUGUCCAUGCCGCCGAGAAAAACCUCUAAGCGAGUACACAUAAUGUCCGUACCGCAAACCGACACAGGUAGGCGAGGAGAGGAUCCUCAGGUGUUCGAGCUAACCCGGGUUAAGGAACUAGGCAAAAUGGUCCCGUAACUUAGGGAUAAGGGACGCCCGGUCUGGUGACGGUGUACAACCUGAGCCGGGCUGGGCCGCAGAGAAAUGGCCUGGGCGACUGUUUACUAAAAACACACGUCUCUGCCAAGUCGUAAGACGACGUAUAGGGACUGACACCUGCCCGGUGCUGGAGCGUUAAGGGGAGAGGUCAGAAUGCGCCUAACCGUGCAUUCGAAGCUUUGAACUGAAGCCCCAGUAAACGGCGGCCGUAACUAUAACGGUCCUAAGGUAGCGAAAUUCCUUGUCGGGUAAGUUCCGACC
Molecule: ribosomal RNA, 2058 nt
Filed under: candidate division Hyd24-12 bacterium ADurb.Bin004
Lineage: Bacteria; Pseudomonadati; Candidatus Fermentibacterota
Description: bacterial LSU rRNA
Rfam family: Bacterial large subunit ribosomal RNA
Source: RNAcentral